RNAcentral lists this long non-coding RNA (1346 nucleotides) under Phascolarctos cinereus (koala). RNAcentral describes it as "lncRNA (ENSPCIG00000000453.2)". Lineage: Eukaryota; Metazoa; Chordata; Mammalia; Diprotodontia; Phascolarctidae. The record is from RNAcentral.
UGCUAAGAGCAGGUGAAAACUAGAAAUAAAUCUAUAUGGGGCCUUAUUUUCUUCAGUAGCUAGCUGCUUUGUGGUGGGGCAUUUAUACCGCUCUUUAUCAGAGCUCUCAGGUGCCAACUGAGUACAAGCCACAAGAGGGAGGAAAUGUCAAGAUUUGGGCAUUCUUACUACAUACGGUUUGUAUUUUUAUCAACAUACUUCAACUGCGGAAAUGCUUACCCUUGAAGAUAAGGAAAACAACCACUCACUUCAUCAGGAAGACAUAUACAAAAUUUCUAUAAAAGCCUUGAACUUUUUGUAGCAGCUUCCUGCAAGCCACAAAUGACAGUUCUACAAUGUAAGGAGAGCAACUGAGAUCUUUCAGCCUUGUUUUGUCGAUAGAUUCCUUUCUGCUCUGUUAACAACCCACUCAAGCCCUCUGACAUGGGGCUAAAAGCCAGGGACAUCACUAUCGGUUAUCAUGGCUGCUUCAGGACAAAGACCGCCUUUUGAAGUCCCUUUUGUGUUUAUUCAAAGCAGCACAUAUUCAGAGCAGAGAGAACUAAGGUAUAUAUUCUCUUAUAAUUUAGAUACCAGACAGCAGUUUUACCAAAAUGUAUUGAACAUUAGGUUGCUAAUGUUGUUGUUUCACCAACCCUUCACCCCAACUGUAGUGACACAAGUAGUGAAAAAAAAUGAAAUCUCUAUUUUUUUAAUGUUUACCAACUAUAUGCUGUUACCCACUGUAGAUGAACGAUGGAAAUAAAAUCUUUUGCCUUUAAUAAUAAGCAACAAUUAGAGUAUAUGAAAAGUGAUUUUUAUGCAUCAAUAUAUCACCUGUAAUCUAUAAAAUCAACUGAGAACCUACCACAUGUUUUAUUUUUUUAUCUCCACAAAGAAGCUAUUAACAAAUGAUGAUCAAUAUUGGUUUGUAGUAGAUUGACCAUUUACAUUUCUUAUUGCAAUGCAUGAUCCAAAUGGAAAUGAUUGCUAAUUUCUUUUCUCCAUUACUCUAGGGUAGUCAAGCACCUUCAAAUAAUACUGAAAUCAAACUUGUAGUUAAAACGACUCUGCUUGAAAAAUUUCAAGGGUACUGACAUUUACAGAGUAAAUGAUAGGGCAAAAGUAGUAGGUCUUAUACCAUCCAAAGUUUGGUAAGUUAAAGAAAAUGAAGUAGUGCUAGAGGAAAGGACUUUCCCUUGGUGGGAAGAGGAAGGAGAGGAGAGGAGAGGAAACUCCUCCUUCUGUAAUUAUAGAAGACUCAUACCCAAGGAGGAAAAUUAGGAGUUCAUCCAAGAAAUGAUACAUUCUCCAAAUUAACCUGAUUGAAACAUAUAGAGUUUGAUAGAAAUUUUGUCUAAUUAUUA